UGCAAGUCGAGCGGUAGAGAGGUGCUUGCACCUCUUGAGAGCGGCGGACGGGUGAGUAAUGCCUAGGAAUCUGCCUGGUAGUGGGGGAUAACGCUCGGAAACGGACGCUAAUACCGCAUACGUCCUACGGGAGAAAGCAGGGGACCUUCGGGCCUUGCGCUAUCAGAUGAGCCUAGGUCGGAUUAGCUAGUUGGUGAGGUAAUGGCUCACCAAGGCGACGAUCCGUAACUGGUCUGAGAGGAUGAUCAGUCACACUGGAACUGAGACACGGUCCAGACUCCUACGGGAGGCAGCAGUGGGGAAUAUUGGACAAUGGGC
Molecule: ribosomal RNA, 318 nt
Filed under: Pseudomonas sp. LT44
Lineage: Bacteria; Pseudomonadati; Pseudomonadota; Gammaproteobacteria; Pseudomonadales; Pseudomonadaceae
Description: bacterial SSU rRNA
Rfam family: Bacterial small subunit ribosomal RNA
Source: RNAcentral